RNAcentral lists this ribosomal RNA (365 nucleotides) under Escherichia coli. Its description in RNAcentral is "bacterial SSU rRNA". It matches the Rfam family "Bacterial small subunit ribosomal RNA", at positions 1 to 360 of the family's 1533-position model. Lineage: Bacteria; Pseudomonadati; Pseudomonadota; Gammaproteobacteria; Enterobacterales; Enterobacteriaceae. The record is from RNAcentral.
UUAAAUUGAAGAGUUUGAUCAUGGCUCAGAUUGAACGCUGGCGGCAGGCCUAACACAUGCAAGUCGAACGGUAACAGGAAACAGCUUGCUGUUUCGCUGACGAGUGGCGGACGGGUGAGUAAUGUCUGGGAAACUGCCUGAUGGAGGGGGAUAACUACUGGAAACGGUAGCUAAUACCGCAUAACGUCGCAAGACCAAAGAGGGGGACCUUCGGGCCUCUUGCCAUCGGAUGUGCCCAGAUGGGAUUAGCUAGUAGGUGGGGUAACGGCUCACCUAGGCGACGAUCCCUAGCUGGUCUGAGAGGAUGACCAGCCACACUGGAACUGAGACACGGUCCAGACUCCUACGGGAGGCAGCAGUGGGGA